Long non-coding RNA from Trifolium pratense (red clover), 359 nucleotides. RefSeq lists it as uncharacterized. The transcript has 2 exons. Lineage: Eukaryota; Viridiplantae; Streptophyta; Magnoliopsida; Fabales; Fabaceae. The record is from RefSeq and is a predicted model, not a curated record.
GAGAUGUAGACAAGCAUGAAUUUUUCGGUUAUAUAGUGAUAAAAAAGUUUAUAUUUAUUACAUGCAAAUCAGAAAAAAUAUGGGUCAAAAUAUCAUGUUUGUUUAUUUUUUCAUCAUUUUUCUUUCUUUAUUUCUUUUUGUAAACAAUGCCUUUGGUAUCCCAUUUGGUUUUCCACCUCCAGCUCCAACUUCCUGCAAUUCUGAUGAUGAUUGUAUAGACGGCAUUAAUAGGCAUUGCGUUGAUAAUAUAUGUCAGAUGAUACUUAUUUAUGCAGAUUAAAAAUAAUUAUGUUACUACUAAGUGCAAUUUUAUUUAUAUGUAAGUUGUUUUAUAUAUAGCGUUUCUAUUUUGUAGACAA